This 72-nucleotide transfer RNA is filed under the name Toxocara canis (dog roundworm). It matches the Rfam family "tRNA". Rfam says of the family: Transfer RNA (tRNA) molecules are approximately 80 nucleotides in length. The record is from Rfam by way of RNAcentral. Lineage: Eukaryota; Metazoa; Nematoda; Chromadorea; Rhabditida; Toxocaridae.
GGAUCAGUAGCGCCGAGGUAGAGCCUUCGUCUAGUAAACGAAGAGGCUCGGGUUCGACUCCCGGGUGGUUUC